Molecule: transfer RNA, 76 nt
Filed under: Variovorax paradoxus
Lineage: Bacteria; Pseudomonadati; Pseudomonadota; Betaproteobacteria; Burkholderiales; Comamonadaceae
Also listed under: 50 other names
Description: tRNA-Asp
Rfam family: tRNA
About the family: Transfer RNA (tRNA) molecules are approximately 80 nucleotides in length.
Source: RNAcentral
GUUCCGCUAACUCAGUGGCCAGAGUGCCUCCCUGUCCAGGAGGAAGCCAGGGGUUCGACUCCCCUGCGGAACGCCA